Molecule: non-coding RNA, 87 nt
Organism: Aspergillus egyptiacus
Lineage: Eukaryota; Fungi; Ascomycota; Eurotiomycetes; Eurotiales; Aspergillaceae
Source: the annotation of a GenBank genome assembly
GGGUCGGUAGCUCAGGGGUAGAGCAAGCGGCUGCAGCAUCCUGUAUCCGCUUCCGCUAGGUCCCGCGUUCAAAUCGCGGUCGGCCCU